UGGAAUUGGUUUUUUUGGAGAAGUCUUUCGCGGUAUUUGGAAUGGAACAGAGGUUGCAGUCAAAGUUUUCCUAGAACAAGAAUUGACUGAAGAGAACAUUGAAGAUUUUGCCAAUGAAAUAUCCAUCCUGAGCCGCAUUCGCCACCCAAAUGUUAUCCUAUUCCUCGGUGCUUGCACAACUCCACCUCGAUUGUCCGUGGUUACUGAAUUCAUG
This 214-nucleotide unclassified non-coding RNA is filed under the name Hevea brasiliensis (rubber tree). Lineage: Eukaryota; Viridiplantae; Streptophyta; Magnoliopsida; Malpighiales; Euphorbiaceae. The record is from RNAcentral.